Molecule: non-coding RNA, 22 nt
Filed under: Arabidopsis thaliana (thale cress)
Lineage: Eukaryota; Viridiplantae; Streptophyta; Magnoliopsida; Brassicales; Brassicaceae
Source: RNAcentral
GGUCGGUUUGCUCGGUUCCUGC